AUUUUAUCAGCUUCCCAGUUUGUUUGAGACAUGUUGUUUAGUCCAACAAUUCAAACAAACUUUCCUUAAUAAUGUCAGAUCCUUGAAAAAUCAAAAAAAAAAAAUGGUCACUAAUUAAUUGAAAACAAUAAACAGAAUAAAGAGUAGAGUUAGACAAAGCAUAAGUGUGUUUGUAUAUGCCCUUUUUACAUUUGUGUUUUUUGCAUAUAAAAUUGGAAUCUUGGAGAAUGGAUGGACAGAAAGACUGAUGAAAAAAUAAAAAAAUAACUUUUUUUUUAUUUUCUACAGGGUUUUUUUUUUAGUGUUUUAUUCAACUCUGUUUUUCUCAGGGAACUGAAAUUCUCUUUCUUUUUCUGAUGAUGGGUUUUGGAGAAAAAGGG
RNAcentral lists this long non-coding RNA (380 nucleotides) under Nicotiana tabacum (common tobacco). RNAcentral's name for it is "long non-coding RNA (NTAB_LNC013899)". Lineage: Eukaryota; Viridiplantae; Streptophyta; Magnoliopsida; Solanales; Solanaceae. The record is from RNAcentral.